RNAcentral lists this non-coding RNA (63 nucleotides) under uncultured Dinobryon. Lineage: Eukaryota; Chrysophyceae; Chromulinales. The record is from RNAcentral.
CGCUCUACAAUGGUACAAUGAUCUUCAUGUCCAUUGCUUCGAACAAAAUCGUUUGCCUUCGGC